GUAGGUGAACCUGCGGAAGGAUCAUUAUUGAAAAGGGAACCCUUCGGGGUUCAACCUUCAACCCCAUGUUUUAACUACCUGUUUCUUUGGCGGGUUCGCCCGUCAGAAGUUUUCUCAAACCAUUCUAAAUGUGUCAUCUGAAUCCCAUAAUAAAUAAAUUAAAACUUUCAACAACGGAUCUCUUGGUUCUGGCAUCGAUGAAGAACGCAGCAUCUGACUGACUCAGGUCUGUAUUAUCUCGUAUGCCGUC
Molecule: unclassified non-coding RNA, 250 nt
Filed under: plant metagenome
Description: partial contains small subunit ribosomal RNA, internal transcribed spacer 1, and 5.8S ribosomal RNA
Source: RNAcentral